AUUGGAGUCUGCAACCCGACUCCAUGAAGCUGGAUUCGCUAGUAAUCGCGCAUCAGCCACGGCGCGGUGAAUACGUUCCCGGGCCUUGUACACACCGCCCGUCAAGCCAUGGAAGCCGGGGGUGCCUGAAGUGCGUGACCGCAAGGGACGCCCUAGGGUAAAACCGGUGACUGGGGCUAAGUCGUAACAAGGUAAC
Molecule: ribosomal RNA, 196 nt
Filed under: uncultured bacterium
Lineage: Bacteria
Description: partial 16S ribosomal RNA
Rfam family: Bacterial small subunit ribosomal RNA
Source: RNAcentral